RNAcentral lists this ribosomal RNA (801 nucleotides) under uncultured Rubrobacter sp. RNAcentral describes it as "bacterial SSU rRNA". It matches the Rfam family "Bacterial small subunit ribosomal RNA", at positions 8 to 796 of the family's 1533-position model. The record is from RNAcentral. Lineage: Bacteria; Bacillati; Actinomycetota; Rubrobacteria; Rubrobacterales; Rubrobacteraceae.
AGAGUUUGAUCCUGGCUCAGGACGAACGCUGACGGUGUGCUUUAGACAUGCAAGUCGAACGAGAAAGCCCUUCGGGGUGAGUACAGUGGCGAACGGGUGAGUAACACGUGGGUAACCUGCCCCUCGCAGGGGGACAACCGGGGGAAACCCCGGCUAAUACCCCGUACGCUCCGAGGUCCGCAUGGUCCUCGGAGGAAAGGUAGCUUCGGCCAUCCGGCGAGGGAUGGGCCCGCGGUCCAUUAGCUAGUUGGUGGGGUGACGGCUCACCAAGGCGACGAUGGAUAGCUGGUCUGAGAGGAUGAUCAGCCACACUGGGACUGAGACACGGCCCAGACUCCUACGGGAGGCAGCAGUCGGGAAUCUUGCGCAAUGGGCGAAAGCCUGACGCAGCAACACCGUGUGGGCGACGAAGGCCUUCGGGUCGUAAAGCCCUGUUGUUGGGGACGAAGGGCGAAGGGUUAAUAGCCCCUAGCUUGACGGUACCCUUCGAGGAAGCCCCGGCUAACUACGUGCCAGCAGCCGCGGUAAUACGUAGGGGGCGAGCGUUGUCCGGAAUUAUUGGGCGUAAAGAGCGUGUAGGCGGUUUGGUAAGUCUGCCGUGAAAACCCGGGGCUCAACCCCGGGCGUGCGGUGGAUACUGCCAGGCUAGAGGAUGGUAGAGGCGAGUGGAAUUCCCGGUGUAGCGGUGAAAUGCGCAGAUAUCGGGAGGAACACCAGUAGCGAAGGCGGCUCGCUGGGCCAUUCCUGACGCUGAGACGCGAAAGCUAGGGGAGCGAACAGGAUUAGAUACCCCAGUAGUCC